CCUACGGGUGGCAGCAGUAGGGAAUAUUGCUCAAUGGGGGAAACCCUGAAGCAGCAACGCCGCGUGGAGGAUGAAGGUUUUAGGAUUGUAAACUCCUUUUGUUAGAGAAGAUUAUGACGGUAUCUAACGAAUAAGCACCGGCUAACUCCGUGCCAGCAGCCGCGGUAAUACGGAGGGUGCAAGCGUUACUCGGAAUCACUGGGCGUAAAGAGUGCGUAGGCGGGGUAAUAAGUCAGAUGUGAAAUCCUGUAGCUUAACUACAGAACUGCAUUUGAAACUGUUACUCUGGAGUGUGGGAGAGGUAGGUGGAAUUCUUGGUGUAGGGGUAAAAUCCGUAGAGAUCAAGAGGAAUACUCAUUGCGAAGGCAUCUCACGAAUCCGCGAUUGACGCUGAUGCACGAAAGCGUGGGUAUCAAACAGGAUUAGAUACCCCUGUAGUC
RNAcentral lists this ribosomal RNA (440 nucleotides) under uncultured bacterium. RNAcentral's name for it is "partial 16S ribosomal RNA". It matches the Rfam family "Bacterial small subunit ribosomal RNA", at positions 338 to 795 of the family's 1533-position model. The record is from RNAcentral.